Molecule: ribosomal RNA, 468 nt
Filed under: uncultured bacterium
Lineage: Bacteria
Description: partial 16S ribosomal RNA
Rfam family: Bacterial small subunit ribosomal RNA
Source: RNAcentral
GACGAACGCUGGCGGCGUGCUUAACACAUGCAAGUCGAACGGAAAGGCCCUGCUUUUGUGGGGUUCUCGAGUGGCGAACGGGUGAGUAACACGUGAGUAACCUGCCCUUGACUUUGGGAUAACUUCAGGAAACUGGGGCUAAUACCGUAUAGGAGCUCCUGCUGCAUUGUGGGCGUUGGAAAGUUUCGGCGGUUGGGGAUGGACUCGCGGCUUAUCAGCUUGUUGGUGGGGUAGUGGCUUACCAAGGCUUUGAAGGGUAGCCGGCCUGAGAGGGUGACCGGCCACAUUGGGACUGAGAUACGGCCCAGACGCCUACGGGAGGCAGCAGUGGGGAAUAUUGCACAAUGGGAGGAAGCCUGAUGCAGCAACGCCGCGUGCGGGAUGACGGCCUUCGGGUAGUAAACAGCUUUAGCCUGUGACGAAGCGGGAGUGACGGUAAUGGGUAAAGAAGCACCGGCUAACUACGUG